This 395-nucleotide unclassified non-coding RNA is filed under the name fungal sp. RNAcentral's name for it is "partial internal transcribed spacer region". The stretch from base 1 to 46 matches the Rfam family "Eukaryotic small subunit ribosomal RNA", at positions 1786 to 1831 of the family's 1831-position model. The record is from RNAcentral. Lineage: Eukaryota; Fungi.
AAGUCGUAACAAGGUUUCCGUAGGUGAACCUGCGGAAGGAUCAUUAACACGUAUCCAACGUUAAAACCCCCCGUGAACCUUUAUUGUGGCACGCCUAUCCGUUAGAAAGUGGCAAUCCCUGGUAAAUCAUCGCCGAACAGUUUUGAUUCAGGGACUUCUGCGUGGGUAGGACAACUGCGCGAGCAAGUGGCCUUUGGUGGCCGCACAAUUAAGCGCAGGCCCGUUUUCAUGCAAAGGUGAUUAGGGGGCCGAGGGCCCAUUGACCCGGUCGCCGGCCGUGUUGGCCUCUAGCGAUCGUGAUUGCGCCACCCGUACAGAGCUAGUGACACUUUCAGACACUAACAAGCAGAGGGAUGCCACUCGAACAACUGUUAACAAUGGAUAUCUUGGUUCUC